UACGUAGGGUGCAAGCGUUGUCCGGAAUUAUUGGGCGUAAAGAGCUCGUAGGCGGUCUGUCGCGUCGGCUGUGAAAACCCGGGGCUCAACCCCGGGCCUGCAGUCGAUACGGGCAGGCUAGAGUGUGGUAGGGGAGACUGGAAUUCCUGGUGUAGCGGUGAAAUGCGCAGAUAUCAGGAGGAACACCGGUGGCGAAGGCGGUUCUCUGGGAAUAUCCUGACGCUGAGGAGCGAAAGUGUGGGGAGCGAACAGG
RNAcentral lists this ribosomal RNA (253 nucleotides) under uncultured bacterium. RNAcentral's name for it is "partial 16S ribosomal RNA". It matches the Rfam family "Bacterial small subunit ribosomal RNA", at positions 524 to 776 of the family's 1533-position model. The record is from RNAcentral.